RNAcentral lists this ribosomal RNA (400 nucleotides) under uncultured bacterium. RNAcentral's name for it is "bacterial SSU rRNA". It matches the Rfam family "Bacterial small subunit ribosomal RNA", at positions 355 to 751 of the family's 1533-position model. The record is from RNAcentral.
UGAGGAAUAUUGGACAAUGGAUGGAAAUCUGAUCCAGCCAUGCCGCGUGCAGGAAGGCGGUCCUAUGGAUUGUAAACUGCUUUUGUACGGGAGCAAUAAUUUCUACGGGAUAGGGAGAUGAGAGUACCGUACGAAUCAGCAUCGGCUAACUCCGUGCCAGCAGCCGCGGUAAUACGGAGGAUGCGAGCGUUAUCCGGAUUUAUUGGGUUUAAAGGGUGCGUAGGCUGUAAUUUAAGUCAGUGGUGAAAUGUACGGGCUUAACCGGUGAUAUGCCAUUGAUACUGGAUUGCUGGAAUACGGAUGCGGUAUGCGGAAUGUGUAGUGUAGCGGUGAAAUGCAUAGAUAUUACACAGAACACCGAUUGCGAAGGCAGCAUACCAAGGCGGGAUUGACGCUGAAG